UACGUAGGGUGCAAGCGUUGUCCGGAAUUAUUGGGCGUAAAGAGCUCGUAGGUGGCCUGUCGCGUCGGCUGUGAAAACUCGGGGCUCAACUCCGAGCUUGCAGUCGAUACGGGCAGGCUAGAGUUCGGCAGGGGAGACUGGAAUUCCUGGUGUAGCGGUGAAAUGCGCAGAUAUCAGGAGGAACACCGGUGGCGAAGGCGGGUCUCUGGGCCGAUACUGACACUGAGGAACGAAAGCGUGGGGAGCGAACAGG
RNAcentral lists this ribosomal RNA (253 nucleotides) under uncultured bacterium. RNAcentral's name for it is "partial 16S ribosomal RNA". It matches the Rfam family "Bacterial small subunit ribosomal RNA", at positions 524 to 776 of the family's 1533-position model. The record is from RNAcentral.